CCACCCCACAUCCACCAAACAUGCAAGAAUGAUCAAGAACUCACUGCCUGAAAGGCCAGCGAAGCAGAAAUACUUUCUUUAUUUAGUCCAGUAGUCGGUGGGCAGCCUCCUGGCCCUGUACUGGAAGAUUGAACUCUCCCUUGAACUUGACUACAAAUUGCUGGAAAGUCCAGGCUGCAGGGGAACGUUGUUCUUGUAGAGCUCGAGUGGGAGUCCACCUAAGAGAUUCAACAUAUGUCCUUGAAGCGAAGCAGGGGUCUACCAAUAUUCCUCUUGCCUGUUGCGAGUUCUCCGUCGAGGAUGUCCUUUGGCAGUCUACCAUCCUUCAUACGACAGACAUGGCCCAGCCAGCGCAGUCUGCGUUGUCUUAUAAGCGUGAACAUUGUGGGAAGUCCAGCACGGGAGAGGACCUCAGAGUUUGGGACUUCCUCUCUCCAGGUGAUGCCGAGGAUGCAGAGAAGGCUGCACAGGCAGCCUCAAAGCAAGGAACCCGAAAGAACACAACUGAAAAAGAUAAAAUCAAGACCAACACCCGAUUCGCAGAGAAAGGGAAAGAAAACACAAGUUGAGCAAACAACGGAAGUAAGCCACAACAUUCCAAAUUGAAAUGGCUCCUUCCCUAGAGCAGCCCAGAGUAGGCCCAAAGCCUUGGAGUCAGUUCAUCAUAUUAGCAGUCACAGGACAGAGCAGCGAGGGCAGUCUUCAUAGCCUCAGCACCAUGGAGACAGGGUGAACGUUGUGGGAGAGCAAUCAAAAUUGCCUUUCACCUCCGAUCCCGACACCCUGACUUUCCAGUCUCUUUAGGCUAAUAUUUAAAUUGUCCAGAUAGCAUAUCAUACCUUGCACUUGUACCCAGGCCCCACUGCAGCUAAAGGCUCUGGGCCAGAACCAAACCACCCAGUGACUCACUCCAGGCCCAGAUUUCACUCUAUCCAGCCCAAAGCUGCUCUUAAUUUCUCCAAAUCAACUCAGUGCCCAGAGCAAUCUGAGCUCACACCCACGGCACUCAAAACUCCUCUGCCUCGACUUCUCUUCUCCAAAUGGCUCAGUACAGUUCAUCCCUCUAAUUCGCUUUGCCUUCACUCAGCUCUUCAUUGCUUUCAGUGAUAAUUUACCACAAUUUACUAAAGGAAAUGUGUUAUUAGUAAUGUUUUUAGUCAAAUUUCUUGCCUUUCAAACUGCCAGAGAGCUGCCACACAUGUUCGGUAGUACCGUCUUAAACCAGACGUACAUGGAAAUGUAAAAAAUUGUAGUGCCUGUGCUAUACAUGUGCAAAUAGGACAACAAGAAAAAAGUUGUCAAUUUAUUUGUUUAAUGUUACGAUGAUUAUCUAUCAUUGAUAUAACACCUAUUUAGUAUCAGAAUUAAAGGCUGGGAUCAUGCUUGAUGCAGGUAGGCUUUUGGCAUUUAACAAUCUCACCCCACUCCGAUCACCAUAUAACCAUACUAUCCCCACUGCUGCAUACACUUCAUGCAUAAUCUGAAGCUAUUCCAAGUUUCACUGCUAUAGCCAAAUUAUGAUACAGCCUUGCCUAUGCCCAGUGACGAGCACUCAGGUACUAGAUCCUGCAGCCCCACCUCAAACUAGUCUUAUGAGCUAUUGGCAGCUCAUACUGCUCAGAGUUUUCUUACUGUUUCCAAAUGUCUCUAAUAAUUCUGAGUCAUAAGUUUCUGUUACUAAGAGAUUUAAAAACAGCUGAAAUAUACUAAACAAUAAAAACUGCAAAAAUAAGAAAGAUAAAAAUAUGAUAAAAAGCAAAUUUAUAAUAUUGUUACCUUUUUUAUUCUGCAAUUACUUCUUACUCAAACAUUAGGCUAGUGUUAAAUAAAACAAAACUUAACCUCCAUUUGCAUUUUCAAUGGAGCUUAGCUAUCUCAAUCAAAUUAAUUAUAUCAAUUUUGUCAGCGAUGCCUGGCAUAAAAUUGAAGGGCCAGAUACAAAGUGUAUUGGCAUCCUCACUUCGGCACAAAUAAGCUGCAUCCAUGAACUUGAUGACUUUCAGUGACAGACUGAAAGAUCAGAUACAUUGACACAAGUGUGGAAGAUAAGAGCUGGUUGACCUGCGCACUGCAACCAGCAGGUGAUUGUCUGUGGAACCAUGGACUGGUAAUCAGUGCAAUACAGCCUCGAGUCUCUAUAUUAUGCUAUCAAAUAUUCAGAAACAAAUGAAAGUAAUUUUAGAAGUCAACUUCUGUUGCUUUUCUCAUGGCUCAUUCUCUUCUCUUAGCAGCUCAGUAAGUUUAAAAUUUAGAAUAGUUUA
Hypanus sabinus (Atlantic stingray) is the source of this 2261-nucleotide long non-coding RNA. RefSeq lists it as uncharacterized. The transcript is spliced from 4 exons. NCBI's taxonomy places the organism in Eukaryota, Metazoa, Chordata, Chondrichthyes, Myliobatiformes, Dasyatidae. The record is from RefSeq and is a predicted model, not a curated record.